This 523-nucleotide ribosomal RNA is filed under the name uncultured bacterium. Its description in RNAcentral is "bacterial SSU rRNA". It matches the Rfam family "Bacterial small subunit ribosomal RNA", at positions 791 to 1319 of the family's 1533-position model. The record is from RNAcentral.
UAGUCCACGCCCUAAACGAUGCUUACUCGAUAUCUGCGUUUACGUGGGUGUCCAAGGGAAACCGUUAAGUAAGCCACCUGGGGAGUACGUUCGCAAGAAUGAAACUCAAAGGAAUUGACGGGGGUCCGCACAAACGGUGGAGCAUGUGGUUUAAUUCGGUGAUACACGAGGAACCUUACCUAGGCUCGAACGCUAUUGGCCAGCUGGUGAAAGCCAGUUUUUCUUCGGAACUGAUAGUGAGGUGCUGCAUGGUUGUCGUCAGCUCGCGCCGUGGGGUGUUGGGUUAAGUCCCGCAACGAGCGCAACCCCUAUUUUCAGUUGCCAGCACAUAAUGGUGGGGACUCUGGAAAGACUGCCGGCGUAAGCCGUGAGGAAGGUGGGGACGACGUCAAAUCAUCAUGGCCUUUAUGCCUAGGGCUACACACGUGCUACAAUGGCGGGUACAGAGGGUCGCGAAGCCGCGAGGUGGAGCUAAUCCCAGAAAGCCCGUCCCAGUUCGGAUUGGAGUCUGCAACUCGACUCC